UGAAGAACGUAGCAAAAUGCGAUAAGUAAUGUGAAUUGCAGAAUUCAGUGAAUCAUCGAAUCUUUGAACGCACAUUGCGCCCGCUGGUAUUCCGGCGGGCAUGCCUGUUCGAGCGUCAUUUCAACCCUCAAACCCCCGGGUUUGGUGUUGGGGAUCGGCUCUGCCUCACGGCGGUGCCGCCCCCGAAAUACAUUGGCGGUCUCGCUGCAGCCUCCAUUGCGUAGUAGCUAACACCUCGCAACUGGAACGCGGCGCGGCCAUGCCGUAAAACCCCAACUUCUGAAUGUUGACCUCGGAUCAGGUAGGAAUACCCGCUGAACUUAAGCAUAUCAAUAAGCGGAGGA
Molecule: unclassified non-coding RNA, 344 nt
Filed under: soil metagenome
Description: partial contains 5.8S ribosomal RNA, internal transcribed spacer 2, and large subunit ribosomal RNA
Rfam family: 5.8S ribosomal RNA (bases 1-118)
Source: RNAcentral